Long non-coding RNA from Gambusia affinis (western mosquitofish), 1344 nucleotides. RefSeq lists it as uncharacterized. The record is from RefSeq and is a predicted model, not a curated record. NCBI's taxonomy places the organism in Eukaryota, Metazoa, Chordata, Actinopteri, Cyprinodontiformes, Poeciliidae. The transcript has 3 exons.
CUGGAGCAGGGACACAUCUGAAACGUGCAGGCCAGUGGACCCCGAGGACCAACAGUGGGGACCAUUGCAUUAGACCACAACACAUUCCUCAUCAAGGCUCGGGGAGAAAUUCACGAGAAGAAAAAAUCCACGUGGAGUAUUGUAAUCAGGGUCUGAAAAAAAAAGACAUCCAUCUGAAUCAUGUCAGGUGGCUGGGAGACCAGCGUGGGUCUCCCUCUCUCUGACAAAUGAAGAAUGUUUCCUUUGGCCAUAGAAACAACCUUUUAAUUUUGACUCUGUUCUCCAAUCUUUGUCUGGAUGCUGGGUGGACGGACACCCACACAAACAAACAAACUAUUGUGGUUUCACCUGUAAAGUUUUUCUUUCUUUUUCUUUUACUGGGUGCAGAAGAACACGCAGACAAAAAAACUUUCCUGAACAAACACAAGAAGCUGGCUGUGCUGCCGCUCCCUGCCCACCAGAGGGUGCAGACAAUGAACCCACAUCACCCCAGAGUUCAACCCAAUUUUUCUUUGGGACCAAAGAAUGAAGCUCCGGAUGCUUGGUGGACAAAAUAAGCCAACAGGACAAGUAAGCUUUGUGAAGAUAUAGACAUGAAGUUUACAUCUAUUCACAAACGCAUGAGCUCAUAUAUUUGUUUGAAGAUGUGCUAACAGAUACUCCUCAAAGGCCUCAUUUUGUGUGCAUUGGAAUAUAUUUUGCACAUCUUGUUCUGGCCCCUCUACUUCAUAAACAAAAAAACAAAACACACACUCACACCACUUGCCAUUACUAUUUCUUCAUAAUAAACUGCUAAACCCAAAAGACCAAAAGUCAAACCAACAACUGGAACAAAAAGCAAACAUAAACCACCAAGGAGACCUCAUCUGACCUGAUGGUCCUGGGUCUGGCCUGAAAACAAGUCCUGAGGCUUUGGGACUUGUUUCUUCAUGUCAUAUCUUGGGACAAUCACCCCAAUCAUUCUGUUUUCCAGGUGAUAACAUGAACAAUCAGGAUCAGCGUGAUUCAUUGUGUGAGGACCAGUAAAUGCUUCAGUUGUGGCAGCAUCUGUCUGCAAAGGACAAACAGAUGUUCCAGAUAUUUCAGUAACACUUGUUUUGUUUAUGUGAGCUAAAUCUAUAAAAGAAGAGCUACAACUGUCUGAAGCUCAAUGGUUGUGUUUAGGUCCUAAACUCCUGGGUUGUUGAAUUUGUUUUGUGCUUGUUUCACGCUUGGUUCAAUAUAUUUCACAUUUGAACGCAUCUUCAUGUCUGGGCUUAGGCUAGGGUGAGAUUCUCAAGAUAAUUUUUCUAUUACAAUAUCAUGACUUUACUGUAACAUGGUGAUUACAUAAAAUCUUCAAGC